AAUAGAUACCCAGGUAGUCCACGCCCUAAACUAUGUCGACUGGUUGUUGGGGGAGUCUGUCCCUCAGUAACGUAGCUAACGCGUGAAGUCGACCGCCUGGGGAGUACGGUCGCAAGAUUAAAACUCAAAGGAAUUGACGGGGACCCGCACAAGCGGUGGAUUAUGUGGAUUAAUUCGAUGCAACGCGAAGAACCUUACCUACCCUUGACAUGCCAGGAACCUCGCAGAGAUGUGAGGGUGCCCGAAAGGGAACCUGGACACAGGUGCUGCAUGGCUGUCGUCAGCUCGUGUCGUGAGAUGUUGGGUUAAGUCCCGCAACGAGCGCAACCCUUGCCAUUAGUUGCUACAUUCAGUUGGGCACUCUAAUGGGACUGCCGGUGACAAACCGGAGGAAGGUGGGGAUGACGUCAAGUCCUCAUGGCCCUUAUGGGUAGGCUUCACACGUAAUACAAUGGCGCAUACAGAGGGCUGCAAACCCCGGCGAGGGGGGUAGCCAAUCCCAAAAAGGUGCGUCGUAGUCCGGAUUGUUCUCUGCAA
This 537-nucleotide ribosomal RNA is filed under the name uncultured bacterium. RNAcentral describes it as "bacterial SSU rRNA". It matches the Rfam family "Bacterial small subunit ribosomal RNA", at positions 777 to 1310 of the family's 1533-position model. The record is from RNAcentral.